This 237-nucleotide long non-coding RNA is filed under the name Vigna radiata. Its description in RNAcentral is "long non-coding RNA (VRAD_LNC018639)". The record is from RNAcentral. Lineage: Eukaryota; Viridiplantae; Streptophyta; Magnoliopsida; Fabales; Fabaceae.
UCGCGGCCCAUACAAAUUUAAUUGCAUAUUAGGAAUGCAGUAUAGCUAGGGAAUGACCCAUAGGUCAUCUCCCAAAGACCAAUUUUGCAGUUCGAGAAUCGAGUCUAACACAAAAAGAGGGGGGGGGGGUUUGAAAGUGUUUUUGUGAUGAGACAUAAACUAAAUUAAAAUGGAAAUUAAACACAACUAAACAUAAUUGAAUGCAUUGAAGUUAAUGAAAACAAUAAACUGAACGGG